Molecule: ribosomal RNA, 394 nt
Filed under: uncultured bacterium
Lineage: Bacteria
Description: bacterial SSU rRNA
Rfam family: Bacterial small subunit ribosomal RNA
Source: RNAcentral
GACGAACGCUGGCGGCGUGCUUAACACAUGCAAGUCGAGCGGUAAGGCCCUUUCGGGGGUACACGAGCGGCGAACGGGUGAGUAACACGUGGGUGACCUGCCCUUAGCUCUGGGAUAAGCCUGGGAAACUGGGUCUAAUACCGGAUAUGACUCCAUGACGCAUGUUGUGGGGUGGAAAGCCUUGUGCGGCUAGGGAUGGGCCCGCGGCCUAUCAGCUUGUUGGUGGGGUGAUGGCCACCAAGGCGACGACGGGUAGCCGGCCUGAGAGGGCGACCGGCCACACUGGGACUGAGACACGGCCCAGACUCCUACGGGAGGCAGCAGUGGGGAAGUCUUGCGCAAUGGGCGAAAGCCUGACGCAGCGACGCCGCGUGAGGGAUGACGGCCUCGGUUG